UCUCUUCUUGCUCAUUCUGAAAGAUUCUAUUAGUCCAUUUUCGGCAAGGAGCUGAGGCUAGCCUCCAGAUAAUAGCCAGUGAGGAGCUACCUCCUGCUGACAACCACAUAAGUGAGCUUGGAGAGAGAUGCUUUCCCUGUUGAGCCUUCCGAUGAGACUGCAGCCCCAGCUGACACCUUGGCUGCAGCCCCCUGGGAGACUCAGAGAUAGGUAGCCAGCUAAGCUGAGAUAAGAAAGCUUUGUUAUUUAAAACCAUUAAACUUAGGAGUCAUUUCUUAUAUAGUAAUAGAUAACUAAGACAUCACCUAUGUACUAUGUUCUUGAGAAAUGGAAUUUCAGAUUUUUCCUAAGUUAGGGAAGAAUUGCCUUUUAUUUAUUCAUUUAAUUUCUACUCAGUUAGAAAUUUUAUGAGCUGUUCAUUAAAAAAUAAAAAGCUAAAUGUAGCCUCUACCAUUGAAAUCACCUUUUUCAUUUUCUACCCUGCUUAUAAGCAGGACCUUAACACAGUCUCCUUGCAUUUUAAGAUUUUAUCAUUUUUUAAUUCUUAAAAUGAAAGAAAAAAGAAAACAAAAGUUGGAGAUAUUUUCUUGCAUGUACUAUUGAUGUUCUUUAUACAGAAACCAACAUCUUCCCUCAAUCUCAAUUUCUGGCCUCUUGCUCUAUCAAGUGUUGCAAAAUUACAUUUUUCCCUACAUUACCUGGAAAGAUUGUUCCUUUUCAUAUCUUAUGCACUAGCUGUUCUGACAGAGCAAUCUCUGUGAAAAAUAUAAAGAACCCGUUAUUUGGUUAAAUUAAUGCUUCCAUUAUAAUGGGUAUAUUAUGGGAUCAUGACAUUUUUUCUCAUUCCUGCCCCACUGGGAGGCUACACUGAGCGCCACCAAACAUCUCAGCCAAUUUUAGCCCUGAGUGAAAACUUUGCUCUAAGCAACCUCUGCAAUAUUAGCCAUAGGGAGCGGUUGCUUUCUGCAAAUAGAAGAUAAGUUUUAAGAAGUGCUCGUAAAGAAGGCUUGGAAUCAGACUUUGUCUCCACAUGCAAAACAACGUGGAAACCCGAGGCAACCAUCCCGACAGCUCAAGCCCUCCCAAAAUCUGCUUUUGCUGGAAAUAUCUUGAUAAUUUAUAUAAAAAUAUGGAGGAGUGAGUUUUCCUGUGUGAGAAACAGGACACUCUGUCUGGCUCCCAUGACUUUACCCAGCUGCAUGUGAUCUCUGCAGGGAGGCUGGGUCCCCCCCUCUGCCCACAAUGCCCUUUGAGGCCCUUCCCCUUCUAUAAACAGCUCCCCUCCCUGCUGGCUUGAUUUUCCUCGAAGCAUCCAUC
Molecule: long non-coding RNA, 1317 nt
Filed under: Homo sapiens (human)
Lineage: Eukaryota; Metazoa; Chordata; Mammalia; Primates; Hominidae
Description: non-protein coding lnc-PRKN-18:2
Source: RNAcentral